RNAcentral lists this ribosomal RNA (316 nucleotides) under Candida viswanathii. Its description in RNAcentral is "SSU rRNA". It matches the Rfam family "Eukaryotic small subunit ribosomal RNA", at positions 525 to 861 of the family's 1831-position model. The record is from RNAcentral. Lineage: Eukaryota; Fungi; Ascomycota; Pichiomycetes; Serinales; Debaryomycetaceae.
GUAAAUACCUUAACGAGGAACAAUUGGAGGGCAAGUCUGGUGCCAGCAGCCGCGGUAAUUCCAGCUCCAAAAGCGUAUAUUAAAGUUGUUGCAGUUAAAAAGCUCGUAGUUGAACCUUGGGCUUGGUUGGCCGGUCCAUCUUUUUGGAUGCGUACUGGACCCAACCGAGCCUUUCCUUCUGGCUAGCCUUUUGGCGAACCAGGACUUUUACUUUGAAAAAAUUAGAGUGUUCAAAGCAGGCCUUUGCUCGAAUAUAUUAGCAUGGAAUAAUAGAAUAGGACGUUAUGGUUCUAUUUUGUUGGUUUCUAGGACCAUC